Molecule: ribosomal RNA, 301 nt
Filed under: uncultured bacterium
Lineage: Bacteria
Description: partial 16S ribosomal RNA
Rfam family: Archaeal small subunit ribosomal RNA
Source: RNAcentral
CAGCAGCCGCGGUAAAACCAGCACCUCGAGUGGUCAGGAGGUUUAUUGGGCCUAAAACAUCCGUAGCUGGUUGCAUAAGUUUUCGGUUAAAUCUAUGUGCUUAACGUAUAGGCCGCCGAAAAUACUGUGCAGCUAGGGAGUGGGAGAGGUACACGGUACUCGGUAGGAAGGGGUAAAAUCCUUUGAUCUAUUGAUGACCACCUGUGGCGAAGGCGGUGUACCAGAACACGUUCGACGGUGAGGGAUGAAAGCUGGGGGAGCAAACCGGAUUAGAUACCCGGGUAGUCCCUGUCUCUUAUAC